RNAcentral lists this ribosomal RNA (1204 nucleotides) under human gut metagenome. Its description in RNAcentral is "bacterial LSU rRNA". It matches the Rfam family "Bacterial large subunit ribosomal RNA", at positions 1390 to 2615 of the family's 2925-position model. The record is from RNAcentral.
CCUAAGGCGAGGUCGAAAGACGUAGUCGAUGGAUAACAGGUUGAAAUUCCUGUACCGCAUAUAAACAGAACUGUGGGGACACAGACAGGGAAUGGAAUCCGGGAAUGGAUAUCCCGGUGCAAGCGAGGUAGGAGUGCUGUUGGCAAAUCCGCAGCACGAUCUGAAGACGUGACGCGUACCGAACAUAAGUAGGGAAGUCCAGGCCCCUGGCUGUCAAGAAAAGCCGCUAUUGUUUUAUAUGUGCCCGUACCGCAAACCGACACAGGUGGAUGAGGAGAGAAUCCUAAGGCCGACGGGAGAAGUAUUGUUAAGGAACUCGGCAAAAUGACUCCGUAACUUCGGGAGAAGGAGUGCCAUGAGAGUGGCCGCAGAGAAAUGGCCCAAGCAACUGUUUAGCAAAAACACAGGUCUAUGCAAAACCGCAAGGUGAAGUAUAUGGGCUGACGCCUGCCCGGUGCUGGAAGGUUAAGGGGAGAGGUUAGCGCAAGCGAAGCUUUGAACUUAAGCCCCAGUAAACGGCGGCCGUAACUAUAACGGUCCUAAGGUAGCGAAAUUCCUUGUCGGGUAAGUUCCGACCCGCACGAAAGGCGUAAUGAUUUGGGCACUGUCUCAACGAUACACCCGGUGAAAUUGAAAUACCAGUGAAGAUGCUGGUUACCUGCGCCAGGACGGAAAGACCCCAUGGAGCUUUACUCCAGUUUGAUACUGGGAUUCGGCAUGGUAUGUACAGGAUAGGUGGGAGACUGAGAAGGUAUGACGUCAGUUGUACCGGAGUCGCUGUUGGGAUACCACCCUUACCAUGUUGGAUUUCUAACCUGUGGCCGUAAGCCGGUCAGGGGACAAUGUCAGGCGGGGAGUUUGACUGGGGCGGUCGCCUCCGAAAGGGUAUCGGAGGCGCUCAAAGGUUCCCUCAGAAUGGUUGGAAACCAUUCGAAGAGUGCAAAGGCAGAAGGGAGCUUGACUGCGACACCGACGGGUGGAGCAGGUACGAAAGUAGGACUUAGUGAUCCGGUGGUAUAAAGUGGGAUUGCCAUCGCUCAACGGAUAAAAGCUACCCUGGGGAUAACAGGCUUAUCACUCCCAAGAGUUCACAUCGACGGAGUGGUUUGGCACCUCGAUGUCGGCUCAUCGCAUCCUGGAGCUGUAGCAGGUUCCAAGGGUUGGGCUGUUCGCCCAUUAAAGCGGUACGCGAGCUGGGUUCAGA